This 982-nucleotide ribosomal RNA is filed under the name Parvulodesmus stephani. RNAcentral's name for it is "partial large subunit ribosomal RNA". It matches the Rfam family "Eukaryotic large subunit ribosomal RNA", at positions 125 to 762 of the family's 3401-position model. Lineage: Eukaryota; Metazoa; Arthropoda; Diplopoda; Polydesmida; Xystodesmidae. The record is from RNAcentral.
UCAUCUUGGCAGGGUGCAAUGUGGUGUUCGGGAGGGUCCAUUCGUGCCUUGAGCUCUGGUGUCCAAGUCCCCCUGACCGGGGCCAUCGCCCGUUGAGGGUGCAAGGCCUGUUGGGCAGGGCUGUGUCUCCGAUCUCGGCACGUUGGGUCCCUUCCUUGGAGUCGGGUUGCUUGAGAGUGCAGCCCAAAGUGGGUGGUAAACUCCACCUAAGGCUAAAUACUUUCCACGAGACCGAUAGCAAACAAGUACCGUGAGGGAAAGUUGCAAAGAACUUUGAAGAGAGAGUUCAAGAGUGCGUGAAACCGUUCGGAGGUAAACGGGUGGGAGCGCGAAGGUCGAACGGACGGGGAGGGAUUCAACUUGGCGUGGCGGCUGGCCGAGCUGGUUCGCGUCUGGGCGUGCGGGCCUCCCUUUGCGGGGAGUGCCAGCCGUCCCGCGUUCUGCUCCGGUCGUAGUCCGCCGUGCCUUGUGCAUUUCCCUAUUCCCCCUCUCCUAGUAGGACGCCGCGACCGGCUGUCGAGGGGAGCCCAGGAGCUGGUUGGAGCAGUUGCGCGGACGAGCAAGGGAUUAGUUCUCUGCGUCCGGUCUGUCUGUCUCCUUCCGCCCGCGGGUCGCUCCCUCCGGCCGAGGAACUGUGCGAGCUGGGCCCUUGUGGUCCCUCGUCCAUGUGCGUGCCCACGAUCUGUCGGUGCGGGUCGAAAGAACCCAACGGGUGGCGGCGGGUGGCCGCGCGCCAGUCUCCGGACUGCGCGGCGAGUAGGUCGAGGCGGCGAGUAGGUCGGUUUCCCACCCGACCCGUCUUGAAACACGGACCAAGAAGUCUAACGUGUGGGCAAGUCUUCGGGGACUUUUUGAACCCUUAGAAGGCGAAAUAAAAGUGAAGGCUGGGUCGUCCUGUUCUCCCUCGGCCCUCGGGCAGUGGGAUGAGCGUGGGCGGCCUGCCCGAGUGGGAUCCCUCGUCUGAUGGCGGGGGCGCACCACU